CCUACGGGAGGCAGCAGUGAGGAAUAUUGGUCAAUGGCCGGAAGGCUGAACCAGCCAAGCCGCGUGAAGGACGAAGGUGCCAAGCAUUGUAAACUUCUUUUGUCAAGGGACAAAAUCAGGCUUGAGAGCCUGACCGAGGGUACUUGAAGAAAAAGCAUCGGCAAACUCCGUGCCAGCAGCCGCGGUAAUAGGGGGGAUGCGAGCGUUAUCCGGAUUUAUGGGGUGUAAAGGGUGGGUAGGCGGACUAUUAAGUCAGCGGUAAAAGCCCGGGGCUUAACCCCGGCGAGCAGUUGAAACGGGCUGUCUUGAGAUGUCGAGAGGUAAGCGGAAUGCGCAGUGUAGCGGUGAAAUGCUUAGAUAUUGCGCAGAACACCGAUUGCGAAGGCAGAAUACCGGCGGCGAUCUGACGCUGAGGCACGAAAGCGUGGGUAGCGAACAGGAUUAGAUACCCCUGUAGUC
This 459-nucleotide ribosomal RNA is filed under the name uncultured bacterium. RNAcentral describes it as "partial 16S ribosomal RNA". It matches the Rfam family "Bacterial small subunit ribosomal RNA", at positions 338 to 795 of the family's 1533-position model. The record is from RNAcentral.